Molecule: ribosomal RNA, 540 nt
Filed under: Sulcomitrella aff. circumstriata EES-2022
Lineage: Eukaryota; Metazoa; Mollusca; Gastropoda; Neogastropoda; Columbellidae
Description: partial small subunit ribosomal RNA
Source: RNAcentral
GACCAAAAGAUUGAGUUAUAUGAUUAGGUAAAAAAGACAGUUAGGCGAUUAAAAGUUUAAUGAUUUUUUAUAGAAGGGUAAAAUUUGAAUAUAAAAAGGUAAUUUUUAGGAAGCUAUAAUGCUGAAGCUGUGACAGUUUUGAGGGAAACUGGGAUUAGAUACCCCAUUAUUCAUAAUUGUAAAUUAAUAGAAAUUUACCAGAGUACUAUGAAUGAUUAAGAUUUAAAACUCAAAGGGCUUGGCGGUGUUUUAGACCAAUUAGGGGAACCUGUCUCGUAAUCGACAGUCCACGUGAUACCUAACCUUUUUUGGUGGUCAGUUUGUAUACCGUCGUCGUCAGGUAACUUUUAAAAAUUGAGAAGUUGGCAGAAAUAAUAGUUUUAAUUAAGACGUCAGAUCAAGGUGCAGCUUAUAAAAAGGAGAGGAUGGGUUACAAUUAUAUAAUUAUAAUUAUGGAUAGUUUAAUGGAAAAAGCUUUAAGGAGGACUUAAAAGUAAUGUUAUAAUAUAUAAAUAAUUUGAAUUAGGCUCUGAAACGUGC